UACGAAGGGUGCGAGCGUUGUUCGGAAUCACUGGGCGUAAAGGGCGCGUAGGCGGCCCUCUUAGUCGCGUGUGAAAGCCCCGGGCUCAACCUGGGAACGGCGCGCGAAACGGGAGGGCUGGAGUUCGGGAGAGGAGAGUGGAAUUCCCAGUGUAGAGGUGAAAUUCGUAGAUAUUGGGAAGAACACCGGUGGCGAAGGCGGCUCUCUGGACCGAGACUGACGCUGAGGCGCGAAAGCGUGGGGAGCAAACAGG
Molecule: ribosomal RNA, 253 nt
Filed under: uncultured bacterium
Lineage: Bacteria
Description: partial 16S ribosomal RNA
Rfam family: Bacterial small subunit ribosomal RNA
Source: RNAcentral